This 23-nucleotide small nuclear RNA is filed under the name Arabidopsis thaliana (thale cress). RNAcentral describes it as "snRNA_15760". The record is from RNAcentral. Lineage: Eukaryota; Viridiplantae; Streptophyta; Magnoliopsida; Brassicales; Brassicaceae.
AAGUGUUGGAUUGUUCACCCACC